RNAcentral lists this ribosomal RNA (1545 nucleotides) under Mycoplasmopsis agalactiae. RNAcentral describes it as "16S ribosomal RNA". The record is from RNAcentral. Lineage: Bacteria; Bacillati; Mycoplasmatota; Mycoplasmoidales; Metamycoplasmataceae.
CUAGAUAUAUAUAAACAUGACAGUCAAUUUUUUCGAGAGUUUGAUCCUGGCUCAGGAUGAACGCUGGCUGUGUGCCUAAUACAUGCAUGUCGAGCGAUGAUAGCAAUAUCAUAGCGGCGAAUGGGUGAGUAACACGUACUCAACGUACCUUUUAGAUUGGGAUAGCGGAUGGAAACAUCCGAUAAUACMGAAUACUUAUUAUUUUUGCAUGAAAGUAAUAUAAAAGGAAGCGUUUUGCUUCGCUAGAAGAUCGGAGUGCGCAACAUUAGCUAGUUGGUGAGGUAACGGCCCACCAAGGCGAUGAUGUUUAGCGGGGUUGAGAGAUUGAUCCGCCACACUGGGACUGAGAUACGGCCCAGACUCCUACGGGAGGCAGCAGUAGGGAAUAUUCCACAAUGGACGAAAGUCUGAUGGAGCGACACAGCGUGCAGGAUGAAKGCCCUAUGGGUUGUAAACUGCUGUGGUUAGGGAAGAAAAAGUAGCGUAGGAAAUGACGCUACCUUGACGGUACCUGAUUAGAAAGCAACGGCUAACUAUGUGCCAGCAGCCGCGGUAAUACAUAGGUUGCAAGCGUUAUCCGAAAUUAUUGGGCGUAAAGCGUCUGUAGGUUGUUUGUUAAGUCUGGCGUUAAAUUUUGGGGCUCAACCCCAAAACGCGUUGGAUACUGGCAGACUAGAGUUAUGUAGAGGUUAGCGGAAUUCCUUGUGAAGCGGUGAAAUGCGUAGAUAAAGGAAGAACAUCAAUAUGGCGAAGGCAGCUAACUGGGCAUACACUGACACUGAGAGACGAAAGCGUGGGGAGCAAACAGGAUUAGAUACCCUGGUAGUCCACGCCCUAAACGAUGAUCAUUAGUUGAUGGGGAACUCAUCGACGCAGCUAACGCAUUAAAUGAUCCGCCUGAGUAGUACGUUCGCAAGAAUAAAACUUAAAGGAAUUGACGGGGAUCCGCACAAGCGGUGGAGCAUGUGGUUUAAUUUGAAGAUACGCGUAGAACCUUACCCACUCUUGACAUCUUCUGCAAAGCUAUGGAGACAUAGUGGAGGUUAACAGAAUGACAGAUGGUGCAUGGUUGUCGUCAGCUCGUGUCGUGAGAUGUUCGGUUAAGUCCUUCAACGAGCGCAACCCUUAUCCUUAGUUACUACCAUUUAGUUGAGCACUCUAAGGAGACUGCCCGAGUAAUCGGGAGGAAGGUGGGGACGACGUCAAAUCAUCAUGCCUCUUACGAGUGGGGCUACACACGUGCUACAAUGGACGGUACAAAGAGAAGCGAAGUGGUGACAUGGAGCAAACCUCAAAAAACCGUUCUCAGUUCGGAUUGAAGUCUGCAACUCGACUUCAUGAAGUCGGAAUCGCUAGUAAUCGUAGAUCAGCUACGCUACGGUGAAUACGUUCUCGGGUCUUGUACACACCGCCCGUCAAACCAUGGGAGCUGGUAAUGCCCGAAGUCGGUUUAUUAAGAAACUGCCUAAGGCAGGACUGGUGACUGGGGUUAAGUCGUAACAAGGUAUCCCUACGAGAACGUGGGGAUGGAUUACCUCCUUUCUA